AUACGGAGGGUACAAGCGUUAAUCGGAAUUACUGGGCGUAAAGCGCGCGUAGGCGGUUAUUUAAGUCAGAUGUGAAAUCCCUGGGCUCAACCUAGGAACUGCAUCUGAUACUGGGUAACUAGAGUUUUGGAGAGGUAAGUGGAAUUUCCGGUGUAGCGGUGAAAUGCAUAGAGAUCUGAAGGAACACCAGUGGCGAAGGCGACUUACUGGCCAAAAACUGACGCUGAGGUGCGAAAGCGUGGGUAGCAAACAGGAUUAGAAACCCCAGUAGUCC
Molecule: ribosomal RNA, 274 nt
Filed under: uncultured bacterium
Lineage: Bacteria
Description: partial 16S ribosomal RNA
Rfam family: Bacterial small subunit ribosomal RNA
Source: RNAcentral